Molecule: long non-coding RNA, 1836 nt
Organism: Homo sapiens (human)
Lineage: Eukaryota; Metazoa; Chordata; Mammalia; Primates; Hominidae
Gene: NSUN5P1
Product: NSUN5 pseudogene 1
Source: Ensembl
GGGAACAUGGGGCUGUACGCUGCGGUGGCAGGCGUGCUGGCCGGCGUGGAGAGCCGCCAGGGCUCUAUCAAGGGGCUGGUGUACUCCAGCAACUUCCAGAACGUGAAGCAGCUGUACGCGCUGGUGUGCGAAACGCAGCGCUACUCCGCCGUGCUGGAUGCCGUGAUCUCCAGCGCCGGCCUCCUCAGUGCGAAGAAGCUGCAGCCGCACCUGGCCAAGGCCUCCCAGCUGCCUCGAUUUGUGCGUGUGAACACUCUCAAGACCUGCUCCGUUUAUGUAGUUAUUUCAAGAGACAAGGUUUCUCCUAUCAGGGUCGGGCUUCCAGGCUGGAUGGAGUGCCCUGGCGCGAUCUCGGCUCACCGCAACCUCUGCCUCCUGGGUUCAAGCGAUUCUCCUGCUUCAGCCUUCUGAGUAGCUGGGAUUAUGAAGGGGUGGCCUGCCCCUCCACAUCUGUGGGAUAUCUCAUCAGCCUUGAUGACUUACAAGCCCUCAAGGGGAAGCAUUUUCUCCUGGACUCCUUGAUGCCGGAGCUGCUGGUGUUUCCCGCCCAGACAGAUCUGCAUGAACACCCACUGUACCGGGCCGGACACCUCAUUCUGCAGGACAGGGCCAGCUGUCUCCCAGCCAUGCUGCUGGACCCCUGCCAGGCUCCCAUGUCAUCGAUGCCUGUGCCGCCCCAGGCAAUAAGACCAGUCACUUGGCUGCUCUUCUGAAGAACCAAGGGAAGAUCUUUGCCUUUGACCUGGAUGCCAAGCGGCUGGCAUCCAUGGCCACGCUGCUGGCCUGGGUUGGCGUCUCCUGCUGUGAGCUGGCUGAGGAGGACUUCCUGGCGGUCUCCCCCUUAGAUCCGCGCUAUCGUGAGGUCCACUAUGUCCUGCUGGAUCCUUCCUGCAGUGGCUCGGGUGAGAUGGUGAGAAGGCGUGGCUGAGGGACUCGGAGGUCCACAGCAGCUUAGACCUGGAGUCAUCUGUUUUGGUCUUAGUUCUGACACUUUAAUGGGCUUGGGACCCUGGAGCAAAAGUUCUCCUCUGUGAGGCAAGGAUUUCAGGAGCGAGGAUUUCAGGACUGAGGCAGCCUGUGAAGCUGUGUAACCGAGACACGCUUUUCCUUAGGUAUGCCGAGCAGACAGCUGGAGGAUCCCGGGGCAGGGACACCUAGCCCGGUGCGUCUGCAUGCCCUGGCAGGGUUCCAGCAGCGAGCCCUGUGCCACGCGCUCACUUUCCCUUCCCUGCAGCGGCUCGUCUACUCCAUGUGCUCCCUCUGCCAGGAGGAGAAUGAAGACAUGGUACCAGAUGCGCUGCAGCAGAACCCGGGCGCCUUCAGGCUAGCUCCCGCCCUGCCUGCCCGGCCCCACCGAGGCCUGAGCACGUUCCCGGGUGCCGAGCACUGCCUCCGGGCUUCCCCCAAGACCACGCUUAGCGGUGGCUUCUUCGUUGCUGUAAUUGAACGGGUCGAGAUGCCGAUGUGAGUGAGUGGGGGCAUGCUUGGGAGGCGCAGGAUGGUACUGGCACAUCUAACAUCUACACUUCUCUAGCUCAGCCUCACAGGCCAAAGCAUCAGCACCAGAACGCACACCCAGCCCAGCCCCAAAGAGAAAGAAGAGACAGCAAAGAGCCGCAGCCGGUGCUUGCACACCGCCUUGCACAUAGCAGAGGCUCCAGGCUGACUCCUUCCUGGUGGGAAAGGAAGAUGCCUGUCCUCUCCGUGGAGGACCCUGGGCCCUCACCGCAGGCAGCAGUUUGCAUUUUGAAAGGUUAUUGGGUCCCUUCCUCGGGCUGUGUUCUUGCUGGUGAGCAAAAGUGUUGCCUGCAGAAAUAAAAUGCAGAACGUACUCUA